AUGAGGCAGGAGGAUCAACAGACUAAUGCCUAUUUGGACUACAGAAUCCGCUUCCGGUUGGCUCCGGCUGGAAGGUUGAAUACUGAGUGUCAUGGACAUGGUCAUGGUCAUAGUAAAUUGGAGCUUCCAGAUUACAGACAAUGGAAAAUAGAAGGGACACCAUUAGAAGCUGUCCAGAAGAAGCUGGCUGCACGGGGGCUAAGGGACCCAUGGGCCCGCAAUGAAGCUUGGCGAUACAUGGGUGGCUUUGCAGAAAAUGUUUCCUUCCUGGGUAUAAUAUUUAAAGGAUUCAAAUGGGGAUUUGCUGCAUUUGUGGUAGCACUAGGGGCUGAAUAUAUCCUGGAAUCCCAGAGCAAGAAUAAGAAGCAUCACUGAAGAGAAUAUCUUUAAAUAUCUUGUCACUUC
This is an RNA transcript of Nannospalax galili (Upper Galilee mountains blind mole rat), 405 nucleotides long. It is a transcript of the gene named NADH dehydrogenase [ubiquinone] 1 beta subcomplex subunit 3 pseudogene, with no coding region annotated. Lineage: Eukaryota; Metazoa; Chordata; Mammalia; Rodentia; Spalacidae. The record is from RefSeq and is a predicted model, not a curated record. The transcript has 2 exons.